RNAcentral lists this ribosomal RNA (443 nucleotides) under uncultured bacterium. Its description in RNAcentral is "partial 16S ribosomal RNA". It matches the Rfam family "Bacterial small subunit ribosomal RNA", at positions 338 to 795 of the family's 1533-position model. The record is from RNAcentral.
CCUACGGGUGGCAGCAGUGGGGAAUAUUGGGCAAUGGGCGCAAGCCUGAUCCAGCAACGCCGCGUGAAGGAAGAAGGCUUUCGGGUUGUAAACUUCUUUUCUCAGGGACGAAGAAGGUGACGCUAGCUGAGGAAUCAGCGACGGCUAACUACGUGCCAGCAGCCGCGGUAAUACGUAGGGGGCAAGCGUUAUCCGGAUUUACUGGGUGUAAAGGGAGAGUAGGCGGGAAAGCAAGUCAGAUGUGAAAACCAUGGGCUCAACCUGUGGACUGCAUUUGAAACUGUUCUUCUGGAGUACUGGAGAGGCAGACGGAAUUCCUAGUGUAGCGGUGAAAUGCGUAGAUAUUAGGAGGAACACCAGUGGCGAAGGCGGUCUGCUGGACAGCAACUGACGCUGAGGCGCGAAAGCGUGGGGAGCAAACAGGAUUAGAUACCCGUGUAGUC